Molecule: ribosomal RNA, 1522 nt
Filed under: uncultured bacterium
Lineage: Bacteria
Description: bacterial SSU rRNA
Rfam family: Bacterial small subunit ribosomal RNA
Source: RNAcentral
GAGAGUUUGAUCAUGGCUCAGGAUUAACGCUGGCGGCGUGCGUAACACAUGCAAGUCGAACGGUAUUUUGAAAGGAAAAGGCUACGGUCUUGGAAAGACAAGAGAGAGUGGCGAACGGGUGAGUAACGCGUGAGCAACCUGCCUUCCACAAAGGGAUAGCUGCCGGAAACGGUAAUUAAUACCAUAUGAAGUUAACGAAUCGCAUGAUAAGGGAACUAAAGAGAAAUCGGUGGAAGAUGGGCUCGCGUCCGAUUAGCUGGUUGGAGAGAUAACAGCUCACCAAGGCGAUGAUCGGUAGCCGGCUUGAGAGAGUGAACGGCCACACUGGAACUGAGAGACGGUCCAGACUCCUAUGGGAGGCAGCAGUGGGGAAUUUUGCACAAUGGGGGGAACCCUGAUGCAGCGACGCCGCGUGAGCGAAGAAGGAAUUCGUUUCGUAAAGCUCUGUCCUAUGGAAAGAUAAUGACGGUACCAUAGGAGGAAGUCCCGGCUAACUACGUGCCAGCAGCCGCGGUAAUACGUAGGGGGCGAGCGUUGUCCGGAAUUAUUGGGCGUAAAGGGUACGCAGGCGGUCUAAGAAGUCAGAUGUUAAAGCGUAGGGCUUAACCCUAUAAAGCAUAUGAAACUGAUAGACUUGAGUAAAGGAGAGGAAAGUGGAAUUCCUGGUGUAGCGGUGAAAUGCGUAGAUAUCAGGAGGAAUACCGGUGGCGAAGGCGACUUUCUGGACUUUAACUGACGCUGAGGUACGAAAGCGCGGGGAGCAAACAGGAUUAGAUACCCUGGUAGUCCGCGCCGUAAACGAUGAAUGCUAGGUAUUGGGAGUCAAAUCUCAGUGCCGAAGUAAACACAUUAAGCAUUCCGCCUGGGGAGUACGGUGGCAACACUGAAACUCAAAGGAAUUGACGGGGACCCGCACAAGCAGCGGAGCACGUGGUUUAGUUCGAUGCAACGCGAAGAACCUUACCUGGUCUUGACAUCCCGGAGACGCCCAUGAAAGUGGGUGGUGCCUUCUUUGAAGGAAUCCGGAGACAGGUGCUGCAUGGCUGUCGUCAGCUCGUGUCGUGAGAUGUUGGGUUAAGUCCCGCAACGAGCGCAACCCUUGCCUUCAGUUGCCAGCGGUUCGGCCGGGCACUCUGAAGGGACUGCCGGUGUCAAACCGGAGGAAGGCGGGGAUGACGUCAAGUCCUCAUGGCCCUUAUGACCAGGGCUACACACGUACUACAAUGGCCGGUACAAAGGGGAGCGACAUUGCGAAAUGGAGCCAAUCCCGGAAAGCCGGUCUCAGUCCGGAUUGGAGUCUGCAACUCGACUCCAUGAAGUUGGAAUCGCUAGUAAUCGUGGAUCAGCAUGCCACGGUGAAUACGUUCCCGGGCCUUGUACACACCGCCCGUCACACCACGGGAGUCGGUUGUACCAGAAGCAGUUGAGCUAACCGCAAGGGGGCAGGCUGCCAAGGUACGGCUGGUAACUGGGGUGAAGUCGUAACAAGGUAGCCCUAGGGGAACCUGCGGCUGGAUCACCU